ACAGGGAUUGCCCUAGUAACGGCGAGUGAAGCGGCAACAGCUCAAAUUUGAAAUCUGGCGUCUUUGGCGUCCGAGUUGUAAUUUGCAGAGGGCGCUUUGGCAUUGGCAGCGGUCCAAGUUCCUUGGAACAGGACGUCACAGAGGGUGAGAAUCCCGUACGUGGUCGCUAGCCUUUACCGUGUAAAGCCCCUUCGACGAGUCGAGUUGUUUGGGAAUGCAGCUCUAAAUGGGAGGUAAAUUUCUUCUAAAGCUAAAUACUGGCCAGAGACCGAUAGCGCACAAGUAGAGUGAUCGAAAGAUGAAAAGCACUUUGGAAAGAGAGUUAAAAAGCACGUGAAAUUGUUGAAAGGGAAGCGCUUGCAGCCAGACUUGCCUGUAGUUGCUCAUCCGGGUUUUUACCCGGUGCACUCUUCUAUAGGCAGGCCAGCAUCAGUUUGGGCGGUUGGAUAAAGGUCUCUGUCAUGUACCUCCUUUCGGGGAGAACUUAUAGGGGAGACGACAUGCAACCAGCCUGGACUGAGGUCCGCGCAUCUGCUAGGAUGCUGGCGUAAUGGCUGUAAGCGGCCCGUCUUGAAACACGGACCAAGGAGUCUAACAUCUAUGCGAGUGUUUGGGUGUCAAGCCCGAGCGCGUAAUGAAAGUGAACGGAGGUGGGAACCUUUCGGGGUGCACCAUCGACCGAUCCUGAUGUCUUCGGAUGGAUUUGAGUAAGAGCAUAGCUGUUGGGACCCGAAAGAUGGUGAACUAUGCUUGAAUAGGGUGAAGCCAGAGGAAACUCUGGUGGAGGCUCGCAGCGGUUCUGACGUGCAAAUCGAUCGUCAAAUUUGGGCAUAGGGGCGAAAGACUAAUCGAACUAUCUAGUAGCUGGUUCCUGCCGAAGUUUCCCUCAGGAUAGCAGUAACGUUUUCAGUUUUAUGAGGUAAAGCGAAUGAUUAGAGGCCUGGGGGUUGAAACAACCUU
RNAcentral lists this ribosomal RNA (960 nucleotides) under Epicoccum plurivorum. Its description in RNAcentral is "partial large subunit ribosomal RNA". It matches the Rfam family "Eukaryotic large subunit ribosomal RNA", at positions 68 to 1048 of the family's 3401-position model. RNAcentral also lists the same sequence under 1 other name. The record is from RNAcentral. Lineage: Eukaryota; Fungi; Ascomycota; Dothideomycetes; Pleosporales; Didymellaceae.